AGUGAACGCUGGCGGUAGGCCUAACACAUGCAAGUCGAACGGCAGCACAGUAAGAGCUUGCUCUUACGGGUGGCGAGUGGCGGACGGGUGAGGAAUACAUCGGAAUCUACUUUUUCGUGGGGGAUAACGUAGGGAAACUUACGCUAAUACCGCAUACGACCUACGGGUGAAAGCAGGGGAUCUUCGGGCCUUGCGCGAUUGAAUGAGCCGAUGUCGGAUUAGCUAGUUGGCGGGGUAAAGGCCCACCAAGGCGACGAUCCGUAGCUGGUCUGAGAGGAUGAUCAGCCACACUGGAACUGAGACACGGUCCAGACUCCUACGGGAGGCAGCAGUGGCGAAUAUUGGACAAUGGGCGCAAGCCUGAUCCAGCCAUACCGCGUGGGUGAAGAAGGCCUUCGGGUUGUAAAGCCCUUUUGUUGGGAAAGAAAAGCAGCAGGUUAAUACCCCGCUGUUCUGACGGUACCCAAAGAAUAAGCACCGGCUAACUUCGUG
RNAcentral lists this ribosomal RNA (492 nucleotides) under uncultured bacterium. RNAcentral's name for it is "partial 16S ribosomal RNA". It matches the Rfam family "Bacterial small subunit ribosomal RNA", at positions 29 to 507 of the family's 1533-position model. The record is from RNAcentral.